Podarcis lilfordi (Lilford's wall lizard) is the source of this 6352-nucleotide non-coding RNA. NCBI's taxonomy places the organism in Eukaryota, Metazoa, Chordata, Lepidosauria, Squamata, Lacertidae. The record is from the annotation of a GenBank genome assembly.
AGACUCCCCAAAUUUAUGAACCUGCACAGACCCGAUGACAUCUCAGAUACUUGAGAAUUGCAAAAUCUCUCUGCCGUGUGUGUCCAUUUCCACAGCAAGGAUGACGAAAGAAACACUACAGCACUACAUGGCUAGGAAAUAUCCUCCACUUCCUGGACCUAUGUUGCAAUACCCAGGACAAAACUGUCUCUUGCUCGUUGCUUGCCCCUCAUUCCACACACUCUUCUUCUGGAAAGCUAGACACAGCAAAUCUGUCCUGUCUAAGAAGCUAGGAGUUUCUGAAGGAAGGACCCAGAGCCUGGCCAGCAUUGCAGAGGCAACACACACGCCUUAAAGAAGACCCAGACCACAGGAAGAGGGCGCUAAAGGCAGAGGAAAGGCAGAAGGUGAGGAAAGGGUAGGAGAACAGAGAAAGAGAGAGAAAAAGCAGGACAUCUAGCAGCUAACCGGGGCAGGAGGAGGAACGCCAAGAACUGAGCAGAGGUUGCAGAACUGAGAAGACGAAGGAAGAAGGAAGCACCACCAUGAGCAAACCAAACUAUGAACAGCUGGGUGAGAAGGCACUUGCCGCUCAGAACCCUCCUGCCUACUCUGAAAAAGAGGCCUAUGCAGAGCCUGACCCACUGAAACAGCCUCCUGGGCCAGCACCCCAAGCAGACUAUGGGGCAAUGCCAGCACCCCAAGCAGGCUAUGGGGCAAUGCCUUACUAUGGCCCACCCGGUGCGGGAUCUCACCUAGGCCCAGUCCUUCAACCUCCACAGGCGGUCUACGUCACACCUGUACAGCCCACCAAUGAACCCGAUUACUUGAUCUACUCCAUCUUCACCAUGCUCUGCUGCUGCUUACCCCUUGGUAUUGCCGCCUUGGUCUACUCUAUACAGGUAAGUGUGUGUGAAAGGGAGAGGCAAAGAAAUGGGGGUGGGGGUGAGGCUUUGCUAGAAAACAAAGGAGGCAAAAAAGGCAAGUCCCUCCCUUAGUAAUAAGGGGUUGCACCCAACCGAGUUCUACUCAGAGAAGACCCAUAGCAGGUAACAGGUCCAAAUUCGUAAUGGGCAUUGAUUUCAGUGGGUCUGCUCUGAGUAGGAGUAGCAUUGGCUUAAGUGUUGUUUUUGGAAGGUGGCAUCACAAGCUAUAAUUUGGCUAUAAUUUGGUUAUAAUUAGGAGUGGGGCUUCUGUCUUUCAUUGAAAAUAUUUCCCUUUAAAGUUCAAGCACUGGCACUAUGGGAGUGGGAGGGGAGUGAGGAGAGAAAUUCAAUGCAGUUUCAAUUGAAGGCAAACCCACCUAAUUUGUUCUUUCUGAAACGAUACACAAACCAAAAAACAGCCCUCCUCCCAAAAUUCACACUUUUCUGAAUUUUGCAAUGCAGUUCUCCAGCCGAGUAUGUGUGUACCAAAAGGCAUACACUAGGGCAAAGCUAGGGUAAAAUGCAUACACCUAAUAAAGGAUUGCAUUGUAUUUGGGGAAACUGCUUUGCAAACAUGUGUAUCUGGGCAAAUGAGAUGAUAGGUCUUCAUGGGGUCUUUAAAAGAAAAUGACAGUGUGGUGCAGAAAAGUGUAUAAACGAAAUUAAGAUUGCGGAAAUGAAAAACGGAGAGAAACCAAAACUGACAGAGGGGCCCAUCCCACAGCCCUCCUACACAGUUACAAGGAAUUAGGUAAAUAAAGGAGAAACAGACACACAUUGCUAAACUACAUGUUUACUUAGCUGCAUGUUACGCUGCAACAUCUGGAGGAGGCUAGCCUUGCUAGUCUGUUGCGGUGUGAGCAAGGGAGAGCCUCAUAGCACCUUAAAGGGAACAAAUUGUUGCGGCAUCUGUUUUGGUGCACCAGAAACAAAAAUAUCAUGCCACCACUUAGCUGCAGAAUCGAGGCAUGGUUAAGGGUGUGAUGUGGUAUCAAACUUUUUUAUUUUAAUGCAGCAAAGAUUGUGGAUGGAAAACCGACUGUUUGGCAAGGGCUAACUUACCAUGGAGCUGUUUACAACUUGGUGAGAUGGUCACCUGGAACAUCUUGUCACACAGCUAGGAGAUUGUUCCUCAUCUCCUUAGAUCAAGGGCCAAUUCUUCACUGGGCAUGAUGCUGCAGAUGAUCAGCUGCAGGGCAAAGAGCUCUCUAUGCCACCCCAAUACCAACCUGAUUAUGACACAGCUAAUGCUGGAUCCAAUGUCAGUGCUCUGUGUUUCGAGAACUGGGAUCCACCUUUGUCUUCCUUCCUUCCUCUUUUACUGCAUGCAUUUACAGAAUAGUAGAACUGUAGAGUCAGAAGGGACCCUGAGGAUCAUCUAGUCCAACCCCCUGCAAUACAGAAAUAUGCAGUUCUCCCAUACGAGGGUCGAACCUGCAACCUUGGCGUUAUCAGCACUAUGCUCUAGCAGACUGAGCUACCCAUCUGAUCUUUCUCUUGGGGCAUGUUUUGUUUUCCUUUCCCUUUCUUCCUUAUUCUCUCCUCCUCCUCCUCCUUCUCCUUCUAGUUCCCGCUCCUCCUCCUCCUCUCCUCUCCCCUCCUCCUCCUAUUGUUUAAAACAAUGUGCACGAAAUUACCAGAGAAAGAUAAAGAGUAUGGCAGAAAGCCACUGGUGUGACCCAGCUUAAAUGAGUAUGUGAUCCAGAAUACGGCUCAUGUCAAUGGGUGCAUUUCCCUUCUUUGUACAUCGCCCCCGAGCAAGGAGUUGUGCAAAUGCUCAUCAUAAGCGAGUUCUCCAUAACUGUGUCCCCAGGCACCGUGAACCCCUCCCCAUUGGGCCGUAUCAGUAAGACAAGGACCACAGGAAACAUUCAGUGAGGUUCAAUUAGGCCACAACUUUGUUGAUUACGAGUUUUGGGUUGGCAUUAAGCAGCCACCAUCUCCUCCAGUCAGCCUGCUGGAGGGAUUCUGGGGACCAAGCCUGAUUUGGGGUCGACCCAUGACAUAUAUCAAAUAAAUGCAACCCACACAGACUUGCGGCAUUGGGGAGUGCUGUGGCUCUUAGCCUGGAUGUAUGGACAGAAGCCCCUCCUUGUGGAUCUCUUUAUCGGGACACCCCAGUGCCAAGGAGUGGGUAGCAGAGGCUCAUAAUCUCCUCUCCACCACCAAAGAAUAGGCUACUUUCAUCUGAUCUUUCUCUAGGGUGUAUUUUAUUUACCUUUCUCUAACCCACAUUCACGUUCUUUCUUAAUUCUCUCCUUCUACCCUUCUAGUUCCAUGCUGCUGCUGUUGUUGCUGCUGCUGCUCCCUCCUCCCUUCUCCUCUUCUCUUUUUCCUUUUAAAACAAUGCAAAAUGAAAUGACCGAAAGGCAGGGAGAGAGAGAGAGAGAGAGAGAGAGAGAGAGAGAGAGAGAGAGAGAGAGAGAGAAUGGCAGAAAGCCACUGAUGUGACCCAUCUUAGAACAGGAUUCGGUCCAGGAUAUGGCUCAGUGUCCGUUCCCCCUCUUUGUACCUCACCUCUGAGCAAUGUGUUGUGCAACAGCUCAUUGUAAGUGAGCGCUCCGUAUUUCUCAACAGAAAUAUCUGUACAUGCACCCAAUAGACAUUCAGAAUACCACAACACACACGUAACUGGCUGUAAAGUAACAUAACAUUAUAUAUAAUGAAACUGUAAUAUAAUCAUCAUAUCAAAAAAUUGCAAAGCACUGUUCCUCAUGGCAAUAACAUAUCAUAUUACUAUUAAUCUUCUAUAUGUUUUUAUUGUUGUAAAGUCCAAGGAUAGUCAAGUCCAAAGAUUGCCAAAUCCAAGGAUUACAACGGACAGUUCCUGUUGGUUAAUAGUCUGUGUGUUGACUCAAUAGACAUUCAAGCAUUAAAACAUGCUUAAAGUCCAUAUAAAUCAUUCAUCAUAUUUCUAAAUAAUAUUUCCUCCAAUGCAACUUAACCAUCAUGCCUUUAUGCAUUUGCAGCAUUCUAAUUAAUAAUACUAAUUAGGUUAUCUUCUUUAUCCCUAACAUUCUGUUCAAGUUCUACCAGCCCCUCAAAGAUCCAGAAAAAUCUCCUGAUCUGCCUUGUUAUGCAAUUCCCUUUUCACAAACAUUUGGGCGGCUUUUAAAGCACAUUAAACACAUUCAUAGAGAAGGCUGUCAGCGAUUACAAGCCACAAUGGCUGAUGUUCUACCUUGACUGUCAGAAGAAUUAUGCCUCUGAAUACCAGUUGCUGAGAAUUGCAGGUAGACAGGCAGCUGCUGUUGCAUUCUUGUCCAAUUUGCAGGCUUCCCACAUGCAUCUGAUCAGACAUUGUAAGCACAGGAUGCUGAGCUAGACAGGUCUGAUCAGGGUUGCCAUGCUCUUACACAGUGGGGAUUGCCAUAGAACCUCUGGCUGCAUAUGCACCAUACAUUUCAAAAAGUCCAUUUAAAGCACAUUUCUCCCUGAAGAACCUUGGAAAGUAACUUUCCCCUCCAACAGUUCCCAGCCACUCUUAACAAACUACAGCUCCCAGGAUUUUUGUGGGGUGGGUGUUUCAAACAUACGGUAUGAACCCAACCAGAGUUGCCAACAGGCCUGGACCAACUGUGACAAGGGAGGAGGAGAGAGGGUCUUUAAUCAUGAGAUACUUUAAGGGCAGGUCCCAGCCUGCCUGCUGGCGGUUGCCAAGAGCCUGAUUUGCAAAUUGCUCGUGGAGAAACCUCACCACUGGUCAGAUCUGUGCUGGUGAAAACUCAGAGGACCAUCCAAACUGAUGUCUUGAACCUCAGUGUGAGCUUAUAGCAGGCACAGGCAAACUCGGCCCUCCAGAUGUUUUGAGACUACAAUUCCCAUCAUCCCUGACCACUGGUCCUGUUAGCUAGGGAUGAUGGGACUUGUAGUCCAAAAACAUCUGGAGGGCUGGGUUUGCCUAUGCCUGGCUUACAGUCUUGCUCUGCUCUGCUAGGUUCCAGACUAAAACCACAAGGUUACUGGUAAGUGACUGAUAGCCUCAAGCAACAAGAUUCUUCGUUGGCUAACACCAGGCAACUGUUUCUCAGCUUGCCACUUCUGCAUGCUGGAGGUGUUCUCCAGCUGCAUGGUUUCUCACUCGUUUCUCUCUCUUUCUCUGCAGACAAGAGAAGCCAACUUCGCUGGAAAUGCCGCGUCCGCCAAGAGAAAUUCCCGAAUGGCACGCCUCUUCGGUCACAUCGCUCUGGGGAUUGGGCUGGGGUGCCUUGUUAUAUAUAUUAUCAUCGUAGUGAUUGUUUCUACCACAGCAGCCUACCUUCCACCGCAGAAGCCCUGAUGAUGCCCUCUGCAGCCUUCAGAUUCCAAAAGACCUUCCCCACCUCACCCCAGCAGACAGGCAAGAGAAGUCCCCCUUUGACAAUCGUCUUCCAUAACAGGAUACACCACUGGCUAGAUGGCAUGCGUGUGUGCCCUGAAAAUUCCACCUAGCAAGAGCUCUGCCGCAGCCCAAACACAUUAAACGAAAAGCAUUGUCUUGCUCCAGCUCUACAACACACAAGCAUCCCAAACAGAAACAACAGAAGAGGGACAGGCAAAUGGAUUUGGGUGCUGAGGAUCUGAAACAGUGUCCUGCCUGAUGGCUUGGGAAAUGUCUGAGUCAAUUGCCUUGCUCUUGCCAAUGUUAAAGUAGAAUUACCUGUUUAGACCAUAGCCCGUCCAGAGCCAAGAUGUACCUCUCCUCCAUCUGACACCUCUGGUCCAGGUUUCUUCCCUGGGCCUUUAGUGUAGUGGCAUUUGAAACACCCAUCCAUUAUAUAUCUGCCUUUGAGAGGUCUUUAUUAACUUUCCAGUGCACUGUUGAAUGCCUUUCUUUUAUCCCUGCCUGUGUCUGUAUUUGGUUCAAUAUUGUCUUUUAUGAAUGAACAAGCCAAUCUAUGUUUACUUGUGGGGUUGCUUUACCCCAUAUAUGCCAACUCAACCAUUUUGAUCUGUGGAACUGGCACUGUUACAAGGGCUACAUAAUGUUCCCUUUGCUUCUGUAAGGAAUCAAUAUUUUAGUGUGGCAACGCUCACACUUUGGAACUCCCGACCUAUUGACACCAGGCAGGUGCCUUCCCUGUAUUCUUUUUUGGUGCCCACUAAAAACAUUUUUAUUUAGACAAGCCUAUAUAGACAUGUAGAAGGUUGGGGUUGUGUUUUAAUCAGCUUUCAAGCUUAUCGUUGAUUCAAUUAUUUUUUAAUGUUUUGAAUAGCUGUUAACAGGGGGCUCACUUCUUAUUCUUUUCUCUUUUUUUACACCACUUUGAGGGUUGUCUGUUUGCUAUGUGCUCCAGCAGGAUAUAAAUUUUGUGAAAUAAAAAUAAAUAAGGAAUAAUCAGUUGGCACAAGCUGCUCUUUGUGUAUAUCAUAUAAUAUUGCUUAAUCCAGGAAUGAAGAUGAUUUUCAGUGUUAGUGAAGAAAAGCUGUCAGUUUCAUUAAAAAUAUUUGAAAUACCUCCUGCCUCC